UAUUCAUAACAGGGCCUAUAAAUCAAGAAACACAUUAGGAAAUAGUUCCAUCUUCGUUGGAAACUCUUUUGGUUCUAAAGGUUGCAUCUUUACAGCAAGGGUUUAGAAAGAUGGGGCAUCACCACCACCAACAUCACCAUCAUCAUGGGGAUCACCAUGGCUCUGGUGUUGAUCCAUUGCUGGCUUGUUGCUGUUGUCCUUGUUUCUUAGUUUGCUCUAUUCUUGGGGGAUUGGGAAGAUGUGUCCUUGAUGUCUUCUAUCCUUUGUUGAUGUGCCUUGGCUUGGAUCAUUCUGGCCAUCACCACCAUCACCAUCACCACCAUUGUUGAUAAGUUUGGUCAUUCACAAGCUCUUUAAAUCAUAAAAUUUUGUUACUCUGAUGUUUAUCUGCUCUUAUCUUGAACUUCAGGUGUGUUUGGAUUUGUUAUUUAGCAUGGUUUGAUUGCUUUUCAGUAAAUUUUUUCAGUAGUUUAGUAGUUGUGUUUGAUUUGAAACUUGUUCAUAUAUUUGUGGUUUGUGUUCUGCUGAAAUAUCAAACUUCAGUCAUGUCUUUAUUUUGCUUCAUUUAAGUAAAUCCAGAGAACUUGAUUUGAAAAGCUUAUUUUAAUA
Long non-coding RNA from Dioscorea cayenensis subsp. rotundata (Guinea yam), 609 nucleotides. RefSeq lists it as uncharacterized. The transcript is spliced from 2 exons. Lineage: Eukaryota; Viridiplantae; Streptophyta; Magnoliopsida; Dioscoreales; Dioscoreaceae. The record is from RefSeq and is a predicted model, not a curated record.